GUAUUAUAAUUUGUUAAUUUUUUAAUUACAGUCAAGUUGUUCAGUAGAUUAAAGAAGACUCUGGCAAAGACUUUCUGUCUUUGCCAAAGCAUAUUUCAAUGCGUGCACAUGGUGGAUGAUCAGGCUAUAAAAACCUUGUAAUGAUCCUUCCGCAGGUUCACCUACGGAAA
Molecule: unclassified non-coding RNA, 170 nt
Filed under: uncultured fungus
Lineage: Eukaryota; Fungi
Description: sequence contains ITS1
Source: RNAcentral